AGAGUUUGAUCCUGGCUCAGAACGAACGCUGGCGGCAGGCCUAACACAUGCAAGUCGAACGGGAUCUUCGGAUCUAGUGGCGGACGGGUGAGUAACGCGUGGGAACGUGCCCUUUGCUUCGGAAUAGCCCCGGGAAACUGGGAGUAAUACCGGAUACGCCCUUUGGGGGAAAGAUUUAUCGGCAAAGGAUCGGCCCGCGUUGGAUUAGGUAGUUGGUGGGGUAAUGGCCUACCAAGCCGACGAUCCAUAGCUGGUUUGAGAGGAUGAUCAGCCACACUGGGACUGAGACACGGCCCAGACUCCUACGGGAGGCAGCAGUGGGGAAUCUUAGACAAUGGGGGAAACCCUGAUCUAGCCAUGCCGCGUGAGCGAUGAAGGCCUUAGGGUUGUAAAGCUCUUUCAGUGGGGAAGAUAAUGACGGUACCCACAGAAGAAGCCCCGGCUAACUCCGUGCCAGCAGCCGCGGUAAUACGGAGGGGGCUAGCGUUGUUCGGAAUUACUGGGCGUAAAGCGCAUGUAGGCGGAUUGGAAAGUUGGGGGUGAAAUCCCGGGGCUCAACCCCGGAACUGCCUUCAAAACUCCCAGUCUUGAGGUCGAGAGAGGUGAGUGGAAUUCCGAGUGUAGAGGUGAAAUUCGUAGAUAUUCGGAGG
This 650-nucleotide ribosomal RNA is filed under the name uncultured bacterium. Its description in RNAcentral is "bacterial SSU rRNA". It matches the Rfam family "Bacterial small subunit ribosomal RNA", at positions 8 to 704 of the family's 1533-position model. The record is from RNAcentral.